ACCAUAUUUUCUAACCAGCUUUCUUUGCAGUUUGGUGGGGCUUUGUGUCUGAAUUCUGGCCAAUGGAACCACGUGGAGGCCUGGCCCAGAACAUCUCCCUGUGGAUUCUCUCAUCUGGCAACUGGAUGCCUACACGAAGGGUGAUUUUGGAGUCAUGUGUUGGAGAUCACAAAGCUUUUGUCAGCCAGGUUCCUGAAUGACUGCUAGACACCAUGGGCUGAACUUUAUGAGCUCCAGCACCACCUCCAGCCUUCAGUGACUGUCUGGAGCAGGCAUCCGGAUGGAAGAGAAGGGGGACAACCAUGAACUUGGUGACCCACGGUCAGCCUGAUUUCCCUUGUGGACACAUUUAUGCCCAGUGUGCAUUCCUCCUGAGGUCUGUUCCAAGUCUGGAGGCAGCAGAGUAGAGUGGAGAGAACAGUGGACUUGGAAUCUCACCUCCCAGAUUAGAGUCCUGGAUCUGACUUUGAUUGCUGGUGCUGCCUCGGGCAAGUUACUUUAGCUGUGUGCAUCUCCAUUUCCCCAUGGAUAGAACAUGGGUUUUGGGUAGAAGUGUCUGAUAGCUGUACUGUGCUUUACGGUUCAUGAGCACGCACACAUAGGCCCAUAAUAUCAUAUCUCUGGUCACCCUGGCAGGUAGAUAUUAUUGCCCCAGGUUUCAGGUAAGAAGACUAAAGACCAGGGGUCAAUUGCUUGCUCAGAGUCCCACAGCCAGCAGCAGCCAGGCAGGACACCAAGUCAGAGUCUAGAUUCCGGAUCUUGCCCUCUUCCAAGUGUACCACAUUCUUCUCAAAGUGGCCUCUCAGGUCUUUUGUCCAGAAAAUUUUGAGACUUUGAUGAGAAGCCCAUAUCUGCACACUGGGGAUUAGGCCAGAUAACCCUGUGUGUCCUUCCAGGCCUGGUAUUGUGAGGCUGAAGCCUAGUGCCCCACACUCCCUUCCUCACCCCUUAGAGAAAGAUAGAGACUCCAGGGCCAGCCUGGUGGGUGCUGAACCUGCCCUGCUGAGCCAAGCCCAGGAGGCAGCCAAGGUCCUACCAGUGACCUUACCCUGGGGGCCCCUCCAGGUAGGAGCCUGGUUGGAAAAGACAGACCGACUUCUUCUGGGUUGGCUGGAAAAAGAUGACAUACUCAAAGCCUUGUCCUUCCACUUGGAUGCACCUGGUGAAGAUGCGACAGUCACCUUUGUCUGGGGAGAGAUAGGCAGUGUUGCAGCCGGAGAAGGGAGGGUAUGGUCAGGAUGCAGCACCAUUUGGUUGAGUCUUGCCUCUGGUACAAGAUUAAGGAGAGAAAACCAGAGGACACCAGGUCCACCCCCAGGGAGCCUUCCCUCUGGGAGCAGAGGCACAGUUGCUGUCCUCACAGAGCCUUUCUGUCUAGGGCAGAAACAUGCAGGAAGUGCCCUGGCUGAGAAUGGAGAUAGGAUCAGGGCCAGGGCAAGACUUUAAGAGACCAUAAGCAUUGAAAAUUGAAAAUGUAAUUACUCAUGUAACUCACAUAUAAUUCAAAAGAAUAAUAGUAAACAGUAAAAUAAGAGCAGAAAAGUCCAUCAAAGUUCUGAUUUUUUUUUUCCAAGACAGCUACCACUACUACAUCCUUUUUUGGAAGUAUCAAAUUCUUUGAAAAAAAAUUAUGUUGGUAUUCCUGCUUUGUUUGUGCCAUAAACCCAAGGGUAGUCUGUCCCCUGUACCACUCCUUCAUCACUAGGCAGGAAGACAACAUAUAUGAGUGAGAGAGACAGGGAGAUACACAUGCGUGCACACACGAGUGCACACACACACACAAGAAGGUGGAAGCUCUAUCAUUAGGAUCCAUUAGGAUCAUUAGGUGUUUCAGGAGUGCUGCUCCAGACCCCGCACAGCAGGGAUGAUGUGCAGGGCCUCAGUGGAAGGGGUGUGGGGUCCAAGGGCUUUCAUGGGGUUGGGGCGGAAGGCUUGGGAUGAGGCUUGAUAGUUAGGGAGGGGCAGUCAGUGAGAAGUCGGGGCAGGAGCUGGGCUGGCUGUCCUCCAGUGGGGACAUGCUUGGCUGGGAGCGAAGGUGGGCCCACCAGGGUGUGCUGCUUCAGAUGGGAGGAGGGGAGCUGGAGACCUGAGAGGACACCCGCCGCCUGUUGCCUGGGGCUGCAGCAUCAGGGGUGGAGUUGGACAGCAGGAAGAACUCGCUGAGAACUGGAAGGCGGUCUGUGAAGUUGCUUCUCAGUCUUAGAACACAGGGAAGGGCGGCUGGGGUGUGUGUACUCAUGGUCCUGUCCUUACCUGAGGAAACUGCCAGUCCAGAUGGGAGCUUGAGUCCCCGGAUGUGGUCUCUGUUGGACUUGAAGGAGGGCAGCUUGAUCCAGCCGCUAGACUUAGUCUUCUCCAGAAAUUCUUGGUACAGGCUCAGCAUGUCCGAACACCAGCUGGCAUUGGGAAGAGCAUAAUCCUUCAAGUCUGUCUUCUCUGGCAAGAAUCUUGAGAACUGGGCAGGAAAAAUCAGAAUGACUAGACAGCAUCCUGGAGGGGGGCUGCUGCCUGGGCUCGGGACCUCUAAACAGCUGUUCCUGGGUGCUGGGGCUUCUCAAUCCCUUCUGCCAGAGUAUCGAUCCAAGGGAAAGGGCCCAUAUUCCUUGCAGGGGGGCUGCGGACCCCUAUGGGUGACGGGGCAUAAGGAUGCUAAAGAGCAAGGGAAGGGCGGGCAGGGAGUGGGGCCAGAGAUGAUGGGCAUGCUGCUCGAUGUGGUGCCUUACCCUUGUUCUGCUUAAAACAUGUGAGCAGUUCUUUAAAGUUGACAACUGCUCAUAUUAGCCUCACUGUACAGAUGGGGAAACUGAGGGAAUACGGCCAAGGUUGCCAAGCAUGUGACUGUGAGAGCUGGUGGUCGCACUAGAUGCUGUCUCCUCUGCAGGGCAGGGUCACAGUUGUUGAGGACCAUUCUAGCAACCCCCACCUCAGGGGCUACUCCAGCUCUGCCCACUGCUGUGGGCCUGCCUGGGCAGGGUGGCUCCUUUGAAACACAUUUGGGCCCCCACAGAGGUGUGGUGCCAUGGCUGGGGCACAGACUAUGUGCCCAUCUGUGUGACGUAAGGAAGUCCUCUGUAGCGUCACCUGCUCAUACACCAGUCACAACUGUAGACAGCAUGUGAGCUGCUUGCCAAUGCCACAGAUGGGGUCCUCUGUCUGGGGAUACCCCAGCUUUGCUGCAGUAGUCUGAGUCCCACAGGAGGAAAGUCAUUUGUUGGUGGCCACACAAGACACAGAGCCAGAUGCAGGUCUCCUGGUAGUUUUAGUUUUGAAUGGGGGCAACUUGGUAUCCCAGAGCACUUUCUCUUUGCCAAAUCAAAUAGCUCCUCCGAACACUGCCCACCUGCCCUGGCCAUGGGCUGGGAAGAGGAGAUUUGGGGUGCUCCUUAAGCCCUAGGCUCCUGGGAAAACACUGCCCAUCUGGCUGAGCUGGGAACUCACCAUGGAGUCUGUGGAGGAUCCAAAUGCUGAGGCAGGGUUGAGUCUGGGCAGGAUACGGGGGGCCUCAAGAAGGCCUCUGUGGUGGCCAAGUCUUGCUGCCACCUGGAAGCAUCUCCUUAUCAUGGCCAAGUGCAAGGAUCCAGCCCUGCUUGGAUGGAGGGUCUUGGCUGACUCCCAAGGAGUGCUUUCAGCUGCACUUGGGGCCGCUUCUCUCCCUU
Molecule: long non-coding RNA, 3656 nt
Filed under: Homo sapiens (human)
Lineage: Eukaryota; Metazoa; Chordata; Mammalia; Primates; Hominidae
Description: long non-coding RNA NONHSAT006442.2
Source: RNAcentral